Rana temporaria (common frog) is the source of this 1140-nucleotide long non-coding RNA. RefSeq lists it as uncharacterized. The record is from RefSeq and is a predicted model, not a curated record. The transcript has 2 exons. NCBI's taxonomy places the organism in Eukaryota, Metazoa, Chordata, Amphibia, Anura, Ranidae.
AUUAUGGGAAAUGUAGUGUCCAUGACCUGAGUUGUAUUACUUCCUGUAUACACACAGGGCUGUCUGCACAACACAAAUUUCAAAUGAAACCAUGAGGAGAGGGGAGGACAUAUUUGAAUAGUAAACCAAUAGCUCAACUGGCAAUUCAACACUUACUGUGGGGGAUACAAAAAAAAUCACAGAUAAACAAAUCUUUAUUGGCAUAAGAUGAGUAAAGAUGGAAAGAAGCAGAAUCAGUGCUCCGAAUGCGAGAAGAGUUUUACUUAUAAGUCACAACUCGAUGUUCAUCUGAGGAUUCACACUGGAGAACGACCAUAUAAAUGUUCCAAAUGUGACAUGCGCUUCUCGCAAAGUACUAGUCUUACCAAGCACCUGAAGCUUCACACUGGAGAGAAACCAUUUAAAUGUACAGAAUGUGACAAAUGCUUCUCUCAGAGGUUUAAUCUUAUUGAACACCAGUAUACUCACACCGGAGAAAAGCUGUUUAACUGUCCCGAAUGCGGCAAGGGUUUCUCACACAGUUCACAUCUAACGAAGCACCAGAGGAUUCACACAGGAGAGAAGCCAUUUAAGUGUUUAGAAUGUGACAAAUGCUUUUCACAUAAGUUUAAUCUAGCUGAACACCAGAAGACUCACACAGGAGAAAAGCCGUUUAAAUGUUUAGAAUGUGGAAAGUGCUUCUCACACAGUUCUCAUCUUACAAAACACCAGAGGGUUCACACAGGAGAGAAGCCAUUCAUAUGUUCAGAAUGUGGCAGAUGCUUCUCUCAUAAGCAUAUUCUUCUUACUCACCAGAAGACUCAUGCCAGGUGAAGAAUGUGAGAAGGAUUUAUUUAUUUUUUGUUCUAGAAGUUAAAAAAAUUAAGCAACAAGAAGUUGGGGAGAAGCUGUAUUCAUCUGUGUGAUAAAUAUUUUACAUGUAAAUAAACACGGAUUAAGAUUAAAAAGCUUCACGCAGAAAAGAAACAAAGCCAUAUCAAAAAUUUAAAAAGUAACAAGUAUUUAAAAAAAAAAAAACGCUCUACCCGCACUCACCAGAAGGUUCAAGAGAGGAAGCUGUUGUGCAAAGGAUAUCUAUAACAGACCAGCACUGGGACUUAUGCCGCAUACACACGAUCAUUUUUCAGCAUGUCCAAAAAA